UUGAAGAAAACAAAAACUGCUCAAUGAAACGGACAAAGAAUAGACACAAAUAUCGUGAUUAUUCGCAUCACGGGGAGAGUUCGUUUCAACGUGAAUACGAUAGAAGAUUUCGACAGGAAAACCGACAUUCCACGUCUUCAAGUGGUUGGCACAAGCGUAGCUAUGAUCGUCACUCGCGGCGUGAUAGGCGAUGAUGUCAUUUCAUUUCUGGAAUUGGCUGGAAAAGACUGAAGAAGCUGCCUCAUGUUGGUACAGUCCAGAUUCAAAAUGGGUUUUUAUAUUUAACUGUGCAAUUUCAAAUGUAUGGGAGUCAAAAUAGGUGGGUGAGAAUUGAGGGGGUGGGUGAGGCAUUGUGUGUGAGGAGACCACUGGAGGUAUUUUACAAUUAAAUAACAGAAACAUUGUCAAUGGUAUUGUAUUUUUAUUGAAACAAUGGCUAUAGUCUAUUUUA
Molecule: long non-coding RNA, 451 nt
Filed under: Dendronephthya gigantea
Lineage: Eukaryota; Metazoa; Cnidaria; Anthozoa; Malacalcyonacea; Nephtheidae
Description: uncharacterized LOC114529013, transcript variant X2
Source: RNAcentral